Molecule: ribosomal RNA, 483 nt
Filed under: uncultured bacterium
Lineage: Bacteria
Description: bacterial SSU rRNA
Rfam family: Bacterial small subunit ribosomal RNA
Source: RNAcentral
GAUGAACGCUGGCGGCGUGCUUAACACAUGCAAGUCGAACGGAGUUAUUUGGAAGCUUGCUUUUGAAUAACUUAGUGGCGGACGGGUGAGUAACGCGUGGGUGACCUGCCUUAUACUGGGGGAUAACACUUAGAAAUAGGUGCUAAUACCGCAUAAGCGCACAGUUCUGCAUGGAACAGUGUGAAAAACUCCGGUGGUAUAAGAUGGACCCGCGUCUGAUUAGCUGGUUGGUGAGGUAACGGCUCACCAAGGCGACGAUCAGUAGCCGGCCUGAGAGGGUGAACGGCCACAUUGGGACUGAGACACGGCCCAAAACUCCUACGGGAGGCAGCAGUGGGGAAUAUUGCACAAUGGGGGGAAAACCCUGAUGCAGCGACGCCGCGUGAGUGAAGAAGUAUUUCGGUAUGUAAAGCUCUAUCAGCAGGGAAGAAAAAUGACGGUACCUGACUAAGAAGCCCCGGGCUAACUAACGUGCCAGCAGCC